RNAcentral lists this ribosomal RNA (465 nucleotides) under uncultured bacterium. RNAcentral's name for it is "partial 16S ribosomal RNA". It matches the Rfam family "Bacterial small subunit ribosomal RNA", at positions 339 to 795 of the family's 1533-position model. The record is from RNAcentral.
CUACGGGUUGCUGCAGUCGAGAAUAGUCUACAAUGGGGGAAACCCUGAUAGCGCGACGCCGCGUGGACGAAGAAGCGUUUCGGCGUGUAAAGUCCUUUUCUUUACGAGCAAUGCCUAAAAAGUUAAUAGCUUUUUAGGAGAGAUAUUAGUAUUGGAAUAAGCUCCGGCUACUCCGUGCCAGCAGCCGCGGUAAUACGGGGGGAGCAAGCGUUGUCCGGAAUCACUAGGCGUAAAGGGCAGGUAGGCGGAUCAGUAAGUUAGAUGUUAAAGGCAUCGGCUCAACCGAUGUAAGGCAUUUGAUACUGCUGAUCUAGAAUUAGGCGGGGGAAGACGGAAUUCCUGGUGUAGCGGUGGAAUGCUUAGAUAUCAGGAAGAACACCGGUGGCGAAGGCGGUCUUCUAUACCAUAAUUGACGCUCAACUGCGAAAGUGUGGGUAUCGAACAGGAUUAGAUACCCGCGUAGUC